This 443-nucleotide ribosomal RNA is filed under the name Streptococcus anginosus. RNAcentral's name for it is "bacterial SSU rRNA". It matches the Rfam family "Bacterial small subunit ribosomal RNA", at positions 28 to 453 of the family's 1533-position model. Lineage: Bacteria; Bacillati; Bacillota; Bacilli; Lactobacillales; Streptococcaceae. The record is from RNAcentral.
GACGAACGCUGGCGGCGUGCCUAAUACAUGCAAGUAGGACGCACAGCCUAUACCGUAGCUUGCUACACCAUAGGCUGUGAGUUGCGAACGGGUGAGUAACGCGUAGGUAACCUGCCUAUUAGAGGGGGAUAACUAUUGGAAACGAUAGCUAAUACCGCAUAACAGUAUGUAACACAUGUUAGAUGCUUGAAAGAUGCAAUUGCAUCGCUAGUAGAUGGACCUGCGUUGUAUUAGCUAGUAGGUAGGGUAAUGGCCUACCUAGGCAACGAUACAUAGCCGACCUGAGAGGGUGAUCGGCCACACUGGGACUGAGACACGGCCCAGACUCCUACGGGAGGCAGCAGUAGGGAAUCUUCGGCAAUGGGGGGAACCCUGACCGAGCAACGCCGCGUGAGUGAAGAAGGUUUUCGGAUCGUAAAGCUCUGUUGUUAAGGAAGAACGAG